This 497-nucleotide ribosomal RNA is filed under the name uncultured bacterium. RNAcentral's name for it is "partial 16S ribosomal RNA". It matches the Rfam family "Bacterial small subunit ribosomal RNA", at positions 28 to 507 of the family's 1533-position model. The record is from RNAcentral.
GAUGAACGCUGGCGGCGUGCCUAAUACAUGCAAGUCGAGCGAACGGACGAGAAGCUUGCUUCCCUGAUGUUAGCGGCGGACGGGUGAGUAACACGUGGAUAACCUACCUAUAAGACUGGGAUAACUUCGGGAAACCGGAGCUAAUACCGGAUAAUAUUUUGAACCGCAUGGUUCAAAAGUGAAAGACGGUCUUGCUGUCACUGAUAGAUGGAUCCGCGCUGCAUUAGCUAGUUGGUAAGGUAACGGCUUACCAAGGCAACGAUGCAUAGCCGACCUGAGAGGGUGAUCAGCCACACUGGAACUGAGACACGGUCCAGACUCCUACGGGAGGCAGCAGUAGGGAAUCUUCCGCAAUGGGCGAAAGCCUGACGGAGCAACGCCGCGUGAAUGAUGAAGGUCUUCGGAUCGUAAAGCUCUGUUAUUAGGGAGGAACGUAUGUGUAAGUAACUGUGCACAUCUUGACGGUACCUAAUCAGAAAGCCACGGCUAACUCCGUG